CCUACGGGAGGCAGCAGUGGGGAAUAUUGCACAAUGGGGGAAACCCUGAUGCAGCGACGCCGCGUGAAGGAAGAAGUCUUUCGGUAUGUAAACUUCUAUCAGCAGGGAAGAAAAUGACGGUACCUGACUAAUAAGCCCCGGCUAACUACGUGCCAGCAGCCGCGGUCAUACGUAGGGGGCAAGCGUUAUCCGGAUUGACUGGGUGUAAAGGGAGCGGAGGCGGGUUAGCAAGUUAGAAGUGAAAGCCCGGGGCUCAACACCGGGACUGUUUUUGAAACUGUUGAACUAGAUUGCAGGAGGGGUAAGUGGAAUUCCUAGUGUAGCAGUGAAAUGCGUAGAUAUUAGGAGGAACACCAGUGGCGUAGGCAGCUUACUGGACUGGAAAUGACGCUGAGGCUCGAAAGCGUAGGGAGCAAACAGGAUUAGAUACCCGUGUAGUC
This 440-nucleotide ribosomal RNA is filed under the name uncultured bacterium. RNAcentral describes it as "partial 16S ribosomal RNA". It matches the Rfam family "Bacterial small subunit ribosomal RNA", at positions 338 to 795 of the family's 1533-position model. The record is from RNAcentral.